CUAAGUAGAUAUGUGCAUUGUGCUAGUGUAGCUUUGUUAAAAUGUUUAAAGAGGAUAUUGAGAUACAUAAAUGGUACUAUUGAUUUAUCUUUAACAUACAAAUAUGAUAAGGAAAGUAAAAAUGUAUGUAAACUACAAGGUUACAGUGAUGCAGACUGGGCCGGUGAUGUAUCAGACCGGAAGUCAACAUCAGGACAAAUAUUUUAUAUUUUUAAUUCCCCAGUUUCUUGGUAUAGCAAGAAACAAUCUUGUGUAUCACUGUCAUCUUGUGAAGCUGAAUAUGUAGCUCUUAGUAUGAGUAUUAUGGAAGGAUCUUUUUUGAAAAAGUUACUCAAAGACUUUGGUUAUGUUAAUGUAUAUUUUGAAAUAUUUGAAGACAAUCAAAGUGUAAUUAAUAUAGCAAACAACAACGACAGUAAUAAGAGAUUAAAACAUAUAGACAUAAAGUAUCAGUACAUAGUAGAAAAUGUAUCAGCAGGUUUAGUUAAAUUAAAAUUUGUUUGUAGUAAUAAAAAUGUUGCCGAUUUGUUUACCAAACCAUUAGGAAAAACACUUUUUGUUAAACUUAGAAAUAUGAUAUUGUCAUAACUUUGUAAGUAGACACAUGCAUAGGAAAGUGUUAGUUAGUAAAGUAAGUAUCUUAUGACUGUAGAAGAUGUUUGAUAUUCUUAAGUUGAGGGCUCUGACUCUGUGCUUUUAUUUUGAGGUUGUUUGUGUUAUUAAGUAGGUGCACUAGUGUCUCAAAAUUGUUAAGGGUUUAGUAAGUGUACUUUAAAUUAAAAUAAAAUGUUGAGGGGGUGUAUUGAAUAUUUGUAGGAAUGUGGCAACAUUAAUAUUUUAAUUAUAAUAGUUUAUUGGUUUGUAAUUUAAUUUUAAGUAUAGCAACUCUCUGUGUGUCCGCCGGUCAAGGCGAUCAUCCAUUUUGUGUGUAGCACCGAAAGUAAAAAAUAAAACAACGCAAUUAAUCCAA
Melitaea cinxia (Glanville fritillary) is the source of this 970-nucleotide long non-coding RNA. RefSeq lists it as uncharacterized. The transcript has 2 exons. NCBI's taxonomy places the organism in Eukaryota, Metazoa, Arthropoda, Insecta, Lepidoptera, Nymphalidae. The record is from RefSeq and is a predicted model, not a curated record.